RNAcentral lists this transfer RNA (52 nucleotides) under Echinorhynchus gadi. RNAcentral describes it as "tRNA-Cys". Lineage: Eukaryota; Metazoa; Acanthocephala; Palaeacanthocephala; Echinorhynchida; Echinorhynchidae. RNAcentral also lists the same sequence under 1 other name. The record is from RNAcentral.
GAGCUGGUAGUUAAGUUAAUAUGAAAUUGCAAGUUUCAAGAUUUAAGGCUUU